GCUGGGCGUGGUGGCGCAGGCCUGUAAUCCCAGCAGCUCAGGAGGCUGAGGCAGGAGGAUUGGGUGUUCAAAUCCAGCCUCAGAAAAAGCCGGGCGCUAAGCAACUCAGCGAGAUCCUGUCUCUA
Molecule: small RNA, 125 nt
Filed under: Marmota monax (woodchuck)
Lineage: Eukaryota; Metazoa; Chordata; Mammalia; Rodentia; Sciuridae
Source: RNAcentral